This 426-nucleotide ribosomal RNA is filed under the name uncultured bacterium. RNAcentral's name for it is "partial 16S ribosomal RNA". It matches the Rfam family "Bacterial small subunit ribosomal RNA", at positions 354 to 796 of the family's 1533-position model. The record is from RNAcentral.
GUGAGGAAUUUUCCGCAAUGGGCGAAAGCCUGACGGAGCAAUGCCGCGUGAAGGAUGAAGGCCUAUGGGUUGUAAACUUCUUUUCUCAGAAAAGAAUUAUGACGGUAUCUGAGGAAUAAGCAUCGGCUAACUCGGUGCCAGCAGCCGCGGUAAGACAGAGGAUGCAAGCGUUAUCCGGAAUGAUUGGGCGUAAAGCGUCUGUAGGUUGUUUAAAAAGUAUUCUGUCAAAGAUUAGGGCUUAACCCUAGAUAGGCAGAAUAAACUUUUAAGCUAGAGUUUGGUAGAGGCAGAGGGAAUUCCCGGUGGAGCGGUGAAAUGCGUAGAUAUCGGGAGGAACACCAAAGGCGAAGGCACUCUGCUGGGCCAAUACUAACACUGAGAGACGAAAGCGAGGGGAGCAAAUGGGAUUAGAAACCCUAGUAGUCC